UGGGGAAUAUUGGACAAUGGGGGCAACCCUGAUCCAGCAAUGCCGCGUGUGUGAAGAAGGCCUUCGGGUUGUAAAGCACUUUCGGUGGGGAAAAAAAUAUUCGACCUAACACGUCGAGUUUUGAUGGUACCCAAAGAAGAAGCACCGGCUAACUCUGUGCCAGCAGCCGCGGUAAUACAGAGGGUGCAAGCGUUAAUCGGAAUUACUGGGCGUAAAGCGUGCGUAGGUGGUUCGCUAAGUCAGGUGCGAAAUCCCCGGGCUCAACCUGGGAACUGCAUUUGAUACUGGCGAACUAGAGUGUGGUAGAGGGUAGUGGAAUUCCCGGUGUAGCGGUGAAAUGCGUAGAUAUCGGGAGGAACAUCAGUGGCGAAGGCGGCUACCUGGACUAACACUGACACUGAGGUACGAAAGCGUGGGGAGCAAACAG
Molecule: ribosomal RNA, 427 nt
Filed under: uncultured bacterium
Lineage: Bacteria
Description: bacterial SSU rRNA
Rfam family: Bacterial small subunit ribosomal RNA
Source: RNAcentral